GAUGGAGGCCAAAUUCUAAGCGGUGCGAGGAAAAUCGCCGAAGUGAAGGGAAUCGUCGACGAUGAUGACGAAGAUACGCUCUUGCUUCUCAAGGAACUGUUAUCAAGGAUUAAUUCCGAGGUAUGUCUCCUUUCAUCCUUUCAGGUUUAUUUUUUCAUCUUUUUUCCCUGGUGGAUUCUCUACUUGCAGGCUUAUGUUCUAAAGUUGUCUCCGUGAUCUUUACUGAAAGAAUAUUGGCUGUGAACUUUGUGACAAUUGCAGGAACUCAACAUUAACU
RNAcentral lists this long non-coding RNA (277 nucleotides) under Selaginella moellendorffii. RNAcentral describes it as "long non-coding RNA (SMOE_LNC002214)". Lineage: Eukaryota; Viridiplantae; Streptophyta; Lycopodiopsida; Selaginellales; Selaginellaceae. The record is from RNAcentral.